UUGAGUUAGGGUUUAUAUUUCCUUUUAGUGUUUAGUGAUUAGUGUUAUGAGUUUAGUUUGUGGAAGUUUUAGGUUAAUGUUGGGGUACGAAUUACUUCAUUCUUUGCAAUCAUAGAAAAUUCAAAAUUUAAACAAUAUGUACUAUGUUAUUUCUUUUGUUACUAUUAUAUUAUGACAUUACUUCGUAUUAUGUACUAUGUGCAUAUUUUUAUAUUUGGGUUAGAGUUUAUAUUUCCUUUUAAAGUUUAGUGAUUAGUGUUUUGGUUUAGCUUACAUGAGGUUUUGAGUUGAUUUUGAGAUAAGUAUUACCUCAUUCUAUGCAAUUAUAGACAUUUUAAAAUAUGAACAAUAUGUAUUAUACUAUUUAAUAUGUUCCAUUCUAUUUAUAAUGUCUCUUUCUUCAAUCCACACUAAUUAUACUGGUGAUCACCACGAACACC
This 440-nucleotide long non-coding RNA is filed under the name Brassica napus (rape). RNAcentral describes it as "long non-coding RNA (BNAP_LNC013219)". The record is from RNAcentral. Lineage: Eukaryota; Viridiplantae; Streptophyta; Magnoliopsida; Brassicales; Brassicaceae.